ACACAGACGCAGGAUUGUUGAGGUUGAAGCUGGUGACAACCUCAGGAUGGAUGAGCCCCAGGCAACCCACAGGAGACCCAUUCACUACCACCGUCGCACUGAAGCCAGGGAAGAAACUUGGGUCUGCAACAACAAGAUUGUACUGUACCAGCAAUAUCACAGGAGGUGUGUGUCAAGGUAGUCCUUUCGUAUUCUCAAGAGUUUUCUUAUGUGGGUUAACAAGCCUUUUCCAGUCUCCUUAUUCUCUUAUGUUUCUUGUUCUAAUAUAUAGUUUGAAAAUUCAUCAUCUAAAUGUAAAAAUGGACAAAGAUACAUCUACAACACAAUGUGGUAACUAUAGUGGAAUUAGUCUGUUUAUUGUAAAUGCCACGGUAUUCAGGAAAACUGUCAAAAAGAUCACAGACAAAAAUACAACUUCAAACUUAACACUGACAGGCAAAUUUCAAAAAAAUAUAAAGUAACAAAACUGAAAAAUGUACAAGAUUAAAUAUUAGAUAAAAAAAUAAUAAAACAAACAUUUUCUCCAUGAAAACAAUAGACACUCACAGUCUUUCCCCUCUAAGUAGUAUCCCUUGGAUGAGCCGUCCUCUGUGAAGGGCACCUUGAGGGCCACCAUGAUGUUGUCCAGCAGACCCUGAACCACCUCCAUACCGGCCUUCACAUUAUAGUUGAUGGCACAUAGGUGGCGCUUGUUGCGAGCCCCCGUACCCCGCGUGGCCACAGGGCAGCUGUCCUUCACCACCACAUCAGCAACCUGGGAUAACCAUGCCUUAAUAUAAUUUCAGUUCAGAGGGGAAAGUAAGGAUGCUGCAGAUUUAUAUUUACUAAUACAUCAGCAUCUAAGCAUAUCAAAUUCAAAGCAAAGUGUGGGUACAUAUACUAAUGCUACAAAUAUACACUGUCACUAUAUGUCAGCAACCAGUGACAACCAGUUCAAUAAGGAAAGUGAGUGCUUUAGUGUAUGUACAUAAUGAUGCUACAAGUCUACAGUCACCAACACAUCAGCACACUGUGACAACUAUUCCUCAGUGGGCACAUACACUGAUGCUACAAAUCUACAUCAUUACCAACACAUGAGGAUCUUGUAUAUCAGUGUUACCUCAAACAUGCGGAGGGGCAGCGAAACGUGCUUGUUGGCAGCCACAGUCUUGAGGAUCCCUGGCAGGAGGCUGAUGCGCAGCGCCUCAAAAUCCAUUGUCUUGGGGUUACCAAUCUUCACCAAUGGCUCCUUGUCCAGAUUGAUUUUCAUCUUCUCUCCCAUAUCCGACUGGAAACACAUGCAUGGAAACAGAGUAAUUUACUCAUGUAAGGUUUUUUCUAUCAGAAGUGGUUACUAAUAACAAUAACCACAAACUUAACAUGUACAAUCAGCUGGAUAGAAAGGAAGGCUGCCAUAUAGUAGGUAAAGCUAAAUAAAAUAAAUUGUAUCA
Long non-coding RNA from Portunus trituberculatus (swimming crab), 1430 nucleotides. RefSeq lists it as uncharacterized. NCBI's taxonomy places the organism in Eukaryota, Metazoa, Arthropoda, Malacostraca, Decapoda, Portunidae. The transcript is spliced from 2 exons. The record is from RefSeq and is a predicted model, not a curated record.